Molecule: ribosomal RNA, 570 nt
Filed under: Triticum aestivum (bread wheat)
Lineage: Eukaryota; Viridiplantae; Streptophyta; Magnoliopsida; Poales; Poaceae
Description: partial small subunit ribosomal RNA
Source: RNAcentral
AUGGCUUUGGUUACUGUGCAGGAGGGACAACUGAAUGACACCACUGUGGCCUAUGGCUUCAGCAAAAUGUUUGACCGGGGAUGGACUUGGAGAGCCAAAUUUCAGAGCCCAAAAACUUUCCUUAUGAGAUUUCCUAGUAAGGUCAAGUUGGUGGAGCUGAAAAACUUUGGCAAGUUCACCCUGCUUGGCACAGGGGCCAUGGUGGAGGUGGAUUUUUGGAGUCCAGAUGAUAAAGCAAAAGGGAAACUUCACUUAGUUUGGAUCAAGAUGUGGGGGGUUCCUGACACUCUAAGACAUUACCUGGGUGCAUGUGAGAUUGGUUCAGCUCUAGGGCCAGUGGUUGAAGUGGAUGUAGAACACAUAUAUUCCAAGGAAGAGAUCAGGGUGAAAGUGGGAGUGAGAGACCUACACAAAAUACCUGCUGGCACUGAGAUAAGUACUAAAGACCUGCUGCUUUAUGAUAUUAGUUUUGAGUUUGAUUCCAUUGCAGAACAGGGGUGGUACAAGUUUGAAGAAGGGAAUAAAAGGAAAAUCUUUGAUUAUCUUGACUUGGAAAGUUCUGAAACAUAG